GGCGACCGGCGCACGGGUGAGUAACGCGUAUGCAACCUACCUAUCAGAGGGGAAUAACCUCGGCGAAAGUCGGACUAAUACCGCAUAAACAGGGGCACCGCAUGGUGAUAUUUGUUAAAGAAAUUCGCUGAUAGAUGGGCAUGCGUUCCAUUAGGUAGUUGGUGAGGUAACGGCUCACCAAGCCGACGAUGGAUAGGGGAACUGAGAGGUUGGUCCCCCACACUGGUACUGAGACACGGACCAGACUCCUACGGGAGGCAGCAGUGAGGAAUAUUGGUCAAUGGGCGGGAGCCUGAACCAGCCAAGUCGCGUGAAAGGAAGAAGGAUCUAUGGUUCGUAAACUUCUUUUGCAGGGGAAUAAAGUGCAGGACGUGUCCUGUUUUGUAUGUACCCUGAGAAUAAGGAUCGGCUAACUCCGUGCCAGCAGCCGC
Molecule: ribosomal RNA, 431 nt
Filed under: uncultured bacterium
Lineage: Bacteria
Description: bacterial SSU rRNA
Rfam family: Bacterial small subunit ribosomal RNA
Source: RNAcentral